UGAGUACGAGAUGCUACGGCAUCGAAGCAGUCUAUGUCAUACUUCCAAGAAAAGCUUGCACUGUCAUAAACAAAGAAUGCCUGUACCAUAACCGACACAGGUGGGUAGGUAGAGUAUACUAAGGGGCGCGAGAUAACUCUCUCUAAGGAACUCGGCAAAAUGACUCCGUAACUUCGGGAGAAGGAGUGCCUUAUUUCUAAGGUUGCAAUAACAAGAUCCAAGCAACUGUUUACCAAAAACACAGGUCUCCGCUAAGUCGUAAGACGAUGUAUGGGGGCUGACGCCUGCCCAGUGCCAGAAGGUUAAAGAAGUUGGUUAGCAUUAGCGAAGCUGAUAACUGAAGCCCUGGUGAACGGCGGCCGUAACAAUAACGGUCCUAAGGUAGCGAAAUUCCUUGUCGGGUAAGUUCCGACCCGCACGAAAGGCGUAAUGAUUUGGAUACUGUCUCGGAGAGGGGCUCGGUGAAAUAGACUUGUCUGUGAAGAUGCGGACUACCUGCACCUGGACAGAAAGACCCUAUGAAGCUUUACUGUAACUUGAGAUUGAAAUUGGACUUUAUUUGCGCAGUAUAGGUGGGAGGCGUUGAGAAUAAUCUUGCGGGAUUGUUGGAGCCAUCAGUGAGAUACCACUCUUGUAAUGUUAGAUUUCUAACUUUGUAUCAUUAUCUGGUCAAAGAACAGUUUCAGGCGGGCAGUUUGACUGGGGCGGUCGCCUCCCAAAGGGUAACGGAGGCGCACAAAGGUUUCCUCUGAACGGGUAGAAAUCGUAUCUAGAGUGUAAAGGCAUAAGGAAGCUUGACUGUGAGACCUACAAGUCGAGCAGGGACGAAAGUCGGUCUUAGUGAUCUGACGGUGCUGAGUGGAAAGGCCGUCACUCAACGGAUAAAAGUUACUCUAGGAUAACAGGCUGAUCUCCCCCAAGAGUUCACAUCGACGGGGAGGUUUGGCACCUCGAUGUCGGCUCAUCGCAUCCUGGGGCGGUAGUCCGUCCCAAGGGUUGGGCUGUUCGCCCAUGAAAGCGGUACGCGAGCUGGGUUCAGAACGUCGUGAGACAGUUCGGUCCAUAUCCGGUGUAGGCGUUAGAAUAUUGAGAGGAGCCUUCUCUAGUACGAGAGGACCGAGAAGGACAUACCUCUGGUGUACCAGUUAUCGUGCCAACGGUAAACGCUGGGUAGCUAUGUAUGGAGUGGAUAACCGCUGAAAGCAUCUAAGUGGGAAGCCCACCUCAAGAUAAGUAUUCUCACC
This 1244-nucleotide ribosomal RNA is filed under the name metagenome. RNAcentral's name for it is "bacterial LSU rRNA". It matches the Rfam family "Bacterial large subunit ribosomal RNA", at positions 1564 to 2818 of the family's 2925-position model. The record is from RNAcentral.